UUUUUGAAUAUAAUUUAAAAUAGGGCCUGCCCACUGAAUUUUGAAGGGCCGCAGUAUUUUGACUGUGCAAAGGUAGCAUAAUCAUUAGUUUUUUAAUUGAAAGCUGGAAUGAAUGGUUUAAUGAAAAAAUAACUGUCUCAAUUUAAAAUUAAAAUUUUAUUUUUAAGUAAAAAAGCUUAAAUGAAUUUAGAAGACGAGAAGACCCUAUAGAAUUUAAUUAUUUUUUUAUUUUAAUAUAGAAGAAUUUAAUAUUUAAUAUUAAAAAUUAAUUUAGUUGGGGUGAUUGAAAAAUUUAAAAAACUUUUUUUAAAAGAAUACAAAUUUAUUUGAAUAAAUGAUCCAUAUAAAUGAUUAAAAGAAUAAAUUACCUUAGGGAUAACAGCGUAAUUUUUUUAGAGAGUUCAAAUCGAAAAAAAAGAUUGCGACCUCGAUGUUGGAUUAAAAUUAAUAUUUGGUGUAGAAGCUAAAUUAUUGGGUCUGUUCGACCUUUAAAAUUUUACA
RNAcentral lists this ribosomal RNA (501 nucleotides) under Poria sp. CO720. RNAcentral describes it as "partial 16S ribosomal RNA". The stretch from base 375 to 501 matches the Rfam family "Bacterial large subunit ribosomal RNA", at positions 2473 to 2600 of the family's 2925-position model. The record is from RNAcentral. Lineage: Eukaryota; Metazoa; Arthropoda; Insecta; Coleoptera; Coccinellidae.